GCUCGAAUGGUGGAAUCGGUAGACACGAAGGACUUAAAAUCCUUUGGCAUUUAAACGCCGUGCGGGUUCAAGUCCCGCUUCGAGUA
RNAcentral lists this transfer RNA (86 nucleotides) under Bacteroidales bacterium. Its description in RNAcentral is "tRNA-Leu". It matches the Rfam family "tRNA". From Rfam's summary of the family: Transfer RNA (tRNA) molecules are approximately 80 nucleotides in length. Their secondary structure includes four short double-helical elements and three loops (D, anti-codon, and T loops). Lineage: Bacteria; Pseudomonadati; Bacteroidota; Bacteroidia; Bacteroidales. The record is from RNAcentral. RNAcentral also lists the same sequence under 1 other name.